GAAAUGCGAUAAGUAAUGUGAAUUGCAGAAUUCAGUGAAUCAUCGAAUCUUUGAACGCACCUUGCGCUCCUUGGUAUUCCGAGGAGCAUGCCUGUUUGAGUGUCAUGUAAUUCUCAACUCUAUUUGCUUUUGUGAAUAGAGCUUGGAUUUGGAGGUUUAUUGCUGGUACUUGUGAUCGGCUCCUCUUGAAUGCAUUAGCUCGAACCUUUGCGGAUCAGCUAUCGGUGUGAUAAUUGUCUACGCCGUUGCAGUGAAGCAUAUCAAUGGGCUCGGCUUCCAAUCGUCCUUUACUGGACAAUGACUUUGACCUUUGACCUCAAAUCAGGUAGGAUUACCCGCUGAACUUAAGC
Molecule: unclassified non-coding RNA, 350 nt
Filed under: plant metagenome
Description: partial contains 5.8S ribosomal RNA, internal transcribed spacer 2, and large subunit ribosomal RNA
Rfam family: 5.8S ribosomal RNA (bases 1-105)
Source: RNAcentral